RNAcentral lists this long non-coding RNA (247 nucleotides) under Capsicum annuum. Its description in RNAcentral is "long non-coding RNA (CANN_LNC018809)". The record is from RNAcentral. Lineage: Eukaryota; Viridiplantae; Streptophyta; Magnoliopsida; Solanales; Solanaceae.
UUUAACAAGCUGUAAAUUAAAACAAAACAACACCAAAAGCUUAGAAUAGAAGGCAAAUGCACAAGGCCAAGUUUAGACCAAAAGGGGACUUCCAGUGAGGGUAUGUAGAUAUAGGGGAUUCCACCCCUUACAACGGUUCUCUAAGGUAGGCUGAGACUACUUUGGAGUGGUGAAAUACCCCAGGUGGUCCCACUCUACUCCCAUUCUCUAGAAUGGGCGGCGCAUGGCCUAUUCCCACACGAUAAUU